GGAAAGAUCAGACUCUGAGGUUUCCAGCUCUGAGUGUGUAAAGAGUGAUCAGUUGAAAGGUGAUGUACCACUUUUGAAUGAGGAAACAUCUACCAAAAGGUAUUUCAUGUGUUUCUUAUUGUCAGACACACAUAGACUGUGUAAGGAAGUAUUUCUUUUUGACUUAAUUAUAACACUUUAGAGAUUUGUUUCUCAAAAAAAAAAAAAAAAAAAAUGCUUUAUGCAUUGUGAUAGCUGUUGAUGGGAGAAUAAUUAUUAUGCAUACUUAUAGUUUGUUAAAUUGUACUUAUUGUAAUUACCAUCUGAAUGAAGCCUCUUCAAAUGAGACUGAGAAAACUCCUUUGUGUUAUUAUUAGUGAAAAAUCGGGCCUAAAUGUGUCCUUCUGUGAUGAAACACCAUCACAAGCUAAAAUGUAUUUUAUAUGCUUUACAUGCAUUAUUUACAUUUCUUCACUAUUGUGUCUGUGACUGAUUAAACAGAAAACCACACAUAAACACAUUCAUCUGUCCAUAGUCAUGAGAACAGCAAAUGCUCUUCAAAUGAGACUGAAGAAUCUCCUUUAAUAGUGUUUUCUCUGCUCCUGUCAGUAAAAGAUCAGGUUCACUUGUGUCCAGCUCUAUGAAAAGUCACCAUUCAAAAGGUAACAGACUGACCUUCAGUGAGAAAGCCCCAUCAUCUUCCAAAAGAAAAAAAUCAGGCUCUGAUACGUUCAGCUCUGUGUCUGUGAAGAUUAACCAUUCAAAAGGUGAUGGACCGAACUUCAGUGAGAGGAAAAUAUCUACCAAAAGUGUAAGAUCAGGCUCACAUGUGUCCAGCUCUGUGUCUGUGAAGAGUAACCGUUCAAAGGGUGAUGUACCGAACUUCCGUGAGGAAACACCAUGUAACAAAAGUGUAAGAUCAGGCUCACGUGUAUCCAGCUCUGUGUCUGUGAAGAGUAACCGUUCAAAGGGUGAUGUACCGAACUUCAGUGAGAAAACACCAUGUAACAAGAGUGAAAGAUCUGAAUCGCAUGUGUCCAGCUCUGUGUCUAUGAAGAGUGACCAUUUAAAGGGAGAUAGACCAAACUUCAAUGAGAAAACACCAUCACCUUCCAAAAGUAACAAAGGACAGAAGACCACAGUAAAUAUUGGUGCAGAAAUUACACGGUGGGACGCUCUUAAAGCACAGAAGGGAUUGAAGAGUGAUGUGGAACUGGCAGCAUUUCUUCUCAACAGGGUUAAGUUUGAGAAAUCGGACUCAAACUACAAGAAUUACCGCAACCACAAGAAUUUCAGAGAAAAUCUCUUCUGGAUCUUCAAGGAUCUUGAGAAAAAAAUAACUGCAUUUCUGAAGAAUGAGCUGGAAAAGUUUAAGAAAAUAUUAAAUAGAGAGAAUACACAGUACUUUGUGCAGGACUUUACAGAGAAAAUGCGUGAUAUCAAAGAAGCAGCUCUUGAUAUGACACUCUACUUCCUGAGAGAUAUGAAGCAAUAUGAGGCUGCAGAUGCUCUACAAGGUAAGAGGUUCAUAGACAUAACAAUUUGUCAUUGUCACUUAUAAAAUAUAAAAUGGUGCAUAUCUUGAUGCAUACUGUACCUUUCUGUUUUUUCGUUCUUGUUUGUUUAUUAGAUGAGCUGGUCCUCAUUCAUCAGCGA
Molecule: long non-coding RNA, 1635 nt
Organism: Cyprinus carpio (common carp)
Lineage: Eukaryota; Metazoa; Chordata; Actinopteri; Cypriniformes; Cyprinidae
Source: Ensembl